UUAAGUGAUCCGCCAGCCUUGGCCUCCAAAAGGGCUGGGAUUACAGGCACGAGCCACCUUGCCUGGCUCCAAUUUCUUGAUAAUUUGUUUCAUUACCCUAGGCAAUUGUCAGGUAGAUAGCCCUAAAUUUGUAUACCGAAGGAACAACUCUCAGGUGAAAAUCAGCAAAAUUUACUUCUCAAAGGAAAGAGAGAGAGAGAAUCUGUUGUGUUAACAGGGUGAUUAAAAAAUGGAUACCAAGUCAAACAUAAAAUUACAGAAAUCUACCACAGGAUUGUAUAAAGAGACCAAUCACACUUAGAUAGUUUUAAACGUAGUCUCUGUUUUAACUGGAUCUCUGAGCUCUGAGCACAGCCCACAUUCAAUCCUGGGUCUCCAAAAAGGAGAGAGAAAUCAUGGGACUAGGCCACAUAAUGCUUUUAUGGUGUUACUUUGUUACAAAGAUGUUGCUUGAGUGUCUAAGCACCCUUUCUUAUUCUAAACUCCCAAGAGUAGCCCCUGUAAUAAUAACUAUUUCAGUUAAAAAAAAUCAGAAAACAAAAUAUAGAAGCAAGGAGUUUAAGAUCUGAGAGGAACUUGUUUAUACUCUUAGGGUUCCAUAAGGAAAAACAGAGGUUUUGCCCCCAGAAGGAGUCUGGCAUCUUCUCUGUUUUCUUUAAGGAAUCCCAGCUCCAAUUUCUUGAUAAUUUGUCUCAUUACCAUUGUUAAAAUUAUUUCCAGUGCCUCAUGCAGCAGAGGGUGGGAAGAGAAAGGAGAGACAGGCAGAAGUAAAUAGAAAAAGCAGAAUUCAGUUGACUGAGAAGAAAAAAACUUUUUUACAAAAACACGUUCCUAGAAGACAAAAAAACAUAAAGUCCUUUUACAUACACACACACACACACACACACACACACACACACGGAUUGCGGAUACUAUCUUUUAAUUAAGCUGCCUUUUAACUGUUGAGGUCUUAAAAAAUCCUUUUAAAUAUUAUUACCAUAUUUUAGCUGGGAAAAGCUGCUGAUAUUUCAAAGGUAAAAUAAAUCUCAAACCAGAAAGGACUUGAUUCAUAACCAACCAACCCAGGCUGUCAUGCUAAAAAAAAGGGCAGAAUCUUUGCUGCUGAACUACUGCAUAGGGUGACUACCAUUGCUCCUUUAGUUUAGUUUGGCUAGCAGAAGGUGGUCUUGCCAUGUAAAUAAAGCCUCUCAGGUAAUCAAAAUGUUUCUUUUUUUACUUUUGCUGGUGUUUUUUUCUUUUCUUUUUUUUUUCAGCUACAGGAAUUUAGCCAAUUCAGAGGAAAUCUUCCCCAUAAUUAUGGAACUUUCUUACAGAUUUUACCAAGUCUGGUCAACCCAAUAAGAAAAAGACUGAAAUAACAACAACAACUUCAACAAAUAAAAAAAAACAGUUAAGCUAAAUAAACAGAUGAUUGCAGAAUUUAUGUGAUUACUGGGUACUCUAAUGGUAAGGAGAAAUUAAGACCAGCUAGUUGUUAAUCUUAACUUUUAGUCAUUAAGGAGAAUUUCCAAGACAAAACUGCAAUCCAGCUGCUUACCUAGGAAUACGGCUUAGGCUGAAAACUUCUAUCGUCUUAGAAAUGGGAAUAAACCUCACACUCACCGUCCCUGUUGGAAGCAAGCUGAAACUCCAAAAAAAAAGUUGCCUGUUGUCCAUCAUCAUGGUGAAGCGGCGUCGUUGUCUGGGAACCCAAUUGGAGACGUUGGAUAUUUUAUCAAGUCUUUGACUGGAAUGACAUUUUUUCAGAAAUAACCAGACUGCUUUGAGGAAUUAAAAUUGACUUUAAGGGCUGAGAAAAACCCCUUGGAAAAACUGGCAUGGUACCCUCUGCAUGCAAUUCCUUUACAAAGCUCCUGACCUGUGUUCUGAAGGCUGGGAAGUCCAAGAUUAAGGCGUCAACAGGUCUUGUGUCUGCUGAGGGCUGUCUCCCUGAUUUGCAGAUGUCUGCUUUCUUGCUGUGUCCUCACAUGGGAAAAAGAGAGAGAAUUUGCUGGUAUUCCUUUUUAUAAGGACACUAACCCCAUUCAUGAGGGUCCCACCCUCAUGACCUCGCCUAAACCUAUAACCUCCAAGGACUCCAUUUCCAAAUACCAGCAACCACAUGUGUGAGCUUAGAAGAGGAUCCUUCCCCAGGUGAGCCUUGAGAUGACCCUGGCCUGUGACUUGAUGGCAGCUUUUGAGAGACUGAGCCAGAGGCCUCCAGGUAAGCCCUUCUCAGAUUCCUGAACCACAGAAACUGUGAGAUAAUCAAUUUUAUUGAUAUCUUGUGGAUAUUGAUAUCCCCAGUUUUAUUGUGGAAUAGAUAACUGCCACACAGCUCCUGACAACUGGCAUCUUGACACAUGUUCUGUGCUCCAGGUCCCAGUAACUGUGCCCAUCCAUUGUUACCACAGGUCACAGUGGCCCUGGCCCUGGGGCAUUAUACUCUCUCUUGGUGUAUUAGUCCAUUCUUAGGCUGCUAAUAAAGAUAUA
Molecule: long non-coding RNA, 2472 nt
Filed under: Homo sapiens (human)
Lineage: Eukaryota; Metazoa; Chordata; Mammalia; Primates; Hominidae
Description: HSALNT0372139
Source: RNAcentral